ACUCCUACGGGGCGCAGCAGUGGGGAAUAUUGCACAAUGGGGGAAACCCUGAUGCAGCGACGCCGCGUGAGUGAAGAAGUAAUUCGUUAUGUAAAGCUCUAUCAGCAGGGAAGAAAAUGACGGUACCUGAGUAAGAAGCCCCGGCUAACUACGUGCCAGCAGCCGCGGUAAUACGUAGGGGGCAAGCGUUAUCCGGAUUUACUGGGGGUAAAGGGAGCGUAGACGGCAGUGCAAGGCUGGAGUGAGAGGCGGUGGCUCA
This 259-nucleotide ribosomal RNA is filed under the name uncultured bacterium. RNAcentral describes it as "partial 16S ribosomal RNA". It matches the Rfam family "Bacterial small subunit ribosomal RNA", at positions 335 to 611 of the family's 1533-position model. The record is from RNAcentral.